AGAUGCUCCAGGACUAGCUGUUUUUAUUUCAAGAAUGGCCAAGUAGAUAUGUGUUAGACUUGGGUUUAUGAAAGAGUCAAAGCAAAACAGCCUGUUCUACAGUGAAACACAGGGAGGUCUCACGAUGAGUUGCCCCAAUUCUCUGAGCUCGGGAUAAACAGGGCUGAUUCAUUGUGAAAGCAUCUUUGCUCAGAUCUCAUUACAGUGCUUAAGAGGUUGCCCCAACUGUCCUCAGGUAUGAACCAGAGAAUAUGCUACAGCCCAGGGAAAGGGUUGAUCACAGCUGUCCUACUGAGAGCAGGCCUUUUUCUUUAUUAUCAACAGCAACAACAAUAACAGCAACUGUCACCACCACAAAAGAAGACCCCAAUUUCAGCUCAUUAUCAGACAGCUGAAUUCUAAAUCAAAAUUGUGGAGGAGAGAUGUGCAACCUGAAUAAAACAUUUCCAGAAGAGCCUGAAUAACAGUCUUGAAUAAAGGGAACUGCAAUGUUCUUGAAUGAUAAUUGGAAAAAAAUUAAGAAUGUGUACUCAGGAACAUAUGUACUAACAAGAGGGCAUUCAGAAAUUAGCAAACACAUUUGUCAGAUUUAUACAAGAUUCCUGAGAAACUGGAGAAAGAAGUAAAGAUGGAUUGAAGAAGACUCAAGAUUAGAGUCAAUCUCUGAUCCCACAGGCUUUAUGGUCUACAGGAGGCCCUUUGAAUUCUGAGCUAAGAAAUAUGGAUUUUACUCUCUAGGCAUCGGGGAGCUGUUGUGACUAUCUGAACAGCCUACAUACUGACACAGUGCCAGGCUUAUUUCAAGAUUUUUAACUCAGUCAACACCAACUGGCAUGUGUUAAACUAGGAGAAAAAAAGAAAUCAAACAGAAUAAGAAUUACCGGAAAUCAACUGCACUUUCUGGAUGAAGAACCUUGGUAAUUGAAUUGUUACAUAGCCACUAGGUAUAGGGAAAGGAAUACAGAAUGCCCAAGAUAAAACUGAGGAGAAUUAUUGAGUCUGUUAAAUUAGAUUUGAAUAAUUUGCUCCUGUGAUAGAACCUAUUCCUAUAGGAAAGCAUCAUAAGACUGAACCUGAAAAGAAAAUUACUGUCAGUCCUAAAGCUCAUUGACAACAUGGCAGCAUUACCAGAUAUGUAGCACAUUAAGUAACAUAACCGGGUCCCUGGUUAUGGCUGACCAUCAGCAUCAGGAAACAAGCAUUGCAUAUGUAUUAGGUUUGGAGUAACUUUAUUUCCUUUUUCUGUAUGUGUGAAAAAGAACGAGCAAAUGGAAGGAUUUGAAGUUUUUCUCUUUUUGACAUUUUACUGAAUAAAUUGAGGCUAGCCUGGAAUUUUAAAAUCUCUUGAAAAUAUAUUUUCACUGUUUUCAUUACAGGCUAACUCUGCACAUUUUGGUGUAAGCAUUUGUUUAAAUAACCUUACACAUGUGGGUGUAUGCCAUAAGGUGAGGGAAAAAAAGGUAGUGUCAGAUAGUAUAUUUUUGCUCUAGAAAGAACUGUUGAUUUGUAAUGAGGAAAAAUGAAAUUAAAUAUUAAAUACAUUGAAAAAUACUGGUUUAAGUUGUAUCACAACAGUGUAUUGCAAUGAUUUUUUCCAAAGCUAAAAGUUGUCCCAACAUAAUUCUAGUGUUUCUAAAAAGUUAUUUUUACCUUAAAACCUUUCAAAAUAAUCUUCCCUUAUAUUUGACACUUACAGAAUACCCUCUACUCACUCAGGUGCUUUAAAGCAAUUUUUGAGGGCCAGCCAGAUCCCUUCUUGCAGCUGUAAGGAUGGGUUUGUUUACUGGUCUUUGAUAAGAAUAACACCUUUGGGUAAGGUU
Panthera uncia (snow leopard) is the source of this 1820-nucleotide long non-coding RNA. RefSeq lists it as uncharacterized. The record is from RefSeq and is a predicted model, not a curated record. The transcript is spliced from 5 exons. Lineage: Eukaryota; Metazoa; Chordata; Mammalia; Carnivora; Felidae.